UACGGAGGGUGCAAACGUUGCUCGGAAUUAUUGGGCGUAAAGAGCGUGUAGGCGGCCUUACAGGUCAGCUGUGAAAACUCGAGGCUCAACCUCGAGACGUCGGUUGAAACCGUAAGGCUAGAGUCCGGAAGAGGAGAGUGGAAUUCCCGGUGUAGCGGUGAAAUGCGCAGAUAUCGGGAAGAACACCCGUGGCGAAGGCGGCUCUCUGGGACGGUACUGACGCUGAGACGCGAAAGCGUGGGGAGCGAACAGG
Molecule: ribosomal RNA, 253 nt
Filed under: uncultured bacterium
Lineage: Bacteria
Description: partial 16S ribosomal RNA
Rfam family: Bacterial small subunit ribosomal RNA
Source: RNAcentral